Molecule: ribosomal RNA, 354 nt
Filed under: uncultured bacterium
Lineage: Bacteria
Description: partial 16S ribosomal RNA
Rfam family: Bacterial small subunit ribosomal RNA
Source: RNAcentral
CCUACGGGGGGCAGCAGUGGGGAAUAUUGGGCAAUGGGCGCAAGCCUGACCCAGCAACGCCGCGUGAAGGAAGAAGGCCCUCGGGUUGUAAACUUCUUUUGUUAGGGACGAAGAAAGUGACGGUACCUGACUAAUAUGCCACGCCUAACUAGGUGCCAGCAGCCGCGGUAAUACGUAGGUGGCAAGCGUUAUCCGGAUUUACUGGGUGUAAAGGGCGUGUAGGCGGGACUGCAAGUCAGAUGUGAAAUUACAGGGCUCAACCCUGGAACGGAAGUUGAAACUGGAAGUCUUGAGGGAUGGAGAGGGAGGCGGAAUUCGGGGUGUAGAGGUGAAAGGCGUAGAUAUAAGGAAGAA